UAGGGAAUCUUCGGCAAUGGACGAAAGUCUGACCGAGCAACGCCGCGUGAGUGAAGAAGGUUUUCGGAUCGUAAAACUCUGUUGUUAGAGAAGAACAAGGACGUUAGUAACUGAACGUCCCCUGACGGUAUCUAACCAGAAAGCCACGGCUAACUACGUGCCAGCAGCCGCGGUAAUACGUAGGUGGCAAGCGUUGUCCGGAUUUAUUGGGCGUAAAGCGAGCGCAGGCGGUUUCUUAAGUCUGAUGUGAAAGCCCCGGGCUCAACCGGGGAGGGUCAUUGGAAACUGGGAGACUUGAGUGCAGAAGAGGAGAGUGGAAUUCCAUGUGUAGCGGUGAAAUGCGUAGAUAUAUGGAGGAACACCAGUGGCGAAGGCGGCUCUCUGGUCUGUAACUGACGCUGAGGCUCGAAAGCGUGGGGAGCAAACAGG
Molecule: ribosomal RNA, 429 nt
Filed under: Gemmatimonadota bacterium
Lineage: Bacteria; Pseudomonadati; Gemmatimonadota
Description: Gemmatimonadetes bacterium partial 16S ribosomal RNA
Rfam family: Bacterial small subunit ribosomal RNA
Source: RNAcentral